Molecule: ribosomal RNA, 397 nt
Filed under: uncultured bacterium
Lineage: Bacteria
Description: partial 16S ribosomal RNA
Rfam family: Bacterial small subunit ribosomal RNA
Source: RNAcentral
AUACGUAGGGGGCGAGCAUUGUCCGGAAUGAUUGGGCGUAAAGGGCGCGUAGGCGGCCCGGUAAGUCUGGAGUGAAAGUCCUGUUUUUAAGAUGGGAAUUGCUUUGGAUACUGUCGGGCUUGAGUGCAGGAGAGGUAAGUGGAAUUCCCAGUGUAGCGGUGAAAUGCGUAGAGAUUGGGAGGAACACCAGUGGCGAAGGCGACUUACUGGACUGUAACUGACGCUGAUGCGCGAAAGUGUUGGGAGCAAACAGGAUUAGAUACCCUGGUAGUCCACACUGUAAACGAUGAAUGCUAGGUGUAGGGGGUAUCGACCCCUUCUGUGCCGCAGUCAACACAAUAAGCAUUCCGCCUGGGGAGUACGGCCGCAAGGUGGAAACUCAAAGGAAUUGGCGGGG